GUGUCAGCUGCCGCGGUAAUACGUAGGGUGCGAGCGUUAAUCGGAAUUACUGGGCGUAAAGCGUGCGCAGGCGGUUUUACAAGACAGAUGUGAAAUCCCCGGGCUUAACCUGGGAACUGCGUUUGUGACUGCAAGACUCGAGUGUGGCAGAGGGGGGUGGAAUUCCACGUGUAGCAGUGAAAUGCGUAGAGAGGUGGAGGAACACCGAUGGCGAAGGCAGCCCCCUGGGUCAACACUGACGCUCAUGCACGAAAGCGUGGGUAGCAAACAGGAUUAGAUACCCUGGUAGUCCACGCCCUAAACGAUGCGAACUAGGUGUUGGAGAAGGAGACUUCUUUAGUACCGCAGCUAACGCGUGAAGUUCGCCGCCUGGGGAGUACGGUCGCAAGAUUAAAACUCAAAUGAAUUGGCGG
This 413-nucleotide ribosomal RNA is filed under the name uncultured bacterium. Its description in RNAcentral is "bacterial SSU rRNA". It matches the Rfam family "Bacterial small subunit ribosomal RNA", at positions 505 to 916 of the family's 1533-position model. The record is from RNAcentral.